RNAcentral lists this ribosomal RNA (518 nucleotides) under Colletotrichum gloeosporioides. RNAcentral describes it as "eukaryotic LSU rRNA". The stretch from base 155 to 308 matches the Rfam family "5.8S ribosomal RNA". The record is from RNAcentral. Lineage: Eukaryota; Fungi; Ascomycota; Sordariomycetes; Glomerellales; Glomerellaceae.
CACCCUUUGUGACAUACCUAUAACUGUUGCUUCGGCGGGUAGGGUCUCCGCGACCCUCCCGGCCUCCCGCCUCCGGGCGGGUCGGCGCCCGCCGGAGGAUAACCAAACUCUGAUUUAACGACGUUUCUUCUGAGUGGUACAAGCAAAUAAUCAAAACUUUUAACAACGGAUCUCUUGGUUCUGGCAUCGAUGAAGAACGCAGCGAAAUGCGAUAAGUAAUGUGAAUUGCAGAAUUCAGUGAAUCAUCGAAUCUUUGAACGCACAUUGCGCCCGCCAGCAUUCUGGCGGGCAUGCCUGUUCGAGCGUCAUUUCAACCCUCAAGCUCUGCUUGGUGUUGGGGCCCUACAGCCGAUGUAGGCCCUCAAAGGUAGUGGCGGACCCUCCCGGAGCCUCCUUUGCGUAGUAACUUUACGUCUCGCACUGGGAUCCGGAGGGACUCUUGCCGUAAAACCCCCCAAUUUUCCAAAGGUUGACCUCGGAUCAGGUAGGAAUACCCGCUGAACUUAAGCAUAUCAAUA